Molecule: long non-coding RNA, 1012 nt
Organism: Scophthalmus maximus (turbot)
Lineage: Eukaryota; Metazoa; Chordata; Actinopteri; Pleuronectiformes; Scophthalmidae
Exons: 4
Source: RefSeq, a predicted model, not a curated record
GAAUGAAGGAGACGGGAGGAGGAAGGUGAAAAGUAAAGUGACUCAUCACUUCUUGUUUCAACACUGCCUCCAUCUGAUGUACUGAUGCGGCGCAGCCGUCCUGGAUACACAAAGCCAAUCUUAGACUCAUUUAAGUUUCACCAGGCUGCUCGUGAGCGGAGAGAGUCGACUCCCGCCUGCGGGGAGGAGUGGAGCUGCUGGUUAUCAGCCCGGGCCACAUCUGACCAGAUCAAACAGAGUGGAGCCUGGUCUCAUCUCCUGUCCCCCUGCGAGUGUUUUAGUGGUCUGUUUCCCUUAUUGCUGCAGAUAAGAGGGUCAACAGUCACACAGCAGCGUCAGGCAAAAGUAAGCUGAGGCGAUUGAUAAGUAAGACUCGAGGCUGUGAUUAUCUUAAGUUGCCGUAUUCAAAGUAACUCCUGGAACAAGACAUUCCUGAUAUCUGAUAGAGUUCACUGCGAGCUGGUUCAUAAAUCAAGCAGAAGAUCUGAUCUGUCAACCUCCCAGGCUACCACCUACGGGCUCAAAGCCUUUGAGCGGCUGCUGCCCCGGGAUGAUCUACUGCCGAGGGACCCUGUUGAUCUGCAGUCAAAGCGCGUGCUGUGGUCCGAUCUCCUCUGGAUACACAGCAUGGAGGCAUCACGUAGAAAUGCUCACAGAGCCGCACCGGCUCUGAGGUUCCCUGCCCGACUGCCUGCUCUGUCCCUUCUGCCUGAUGCAGGUCUACAUCUGAGCCUCGCCUGGACCUCACCGCCUAUUCCUGCCUUCAGUGAACUGCGCUUGUGAACGCAUUGACCCCAUCCAAUCAACAAACACUGAGAAGAAGGAGAGUAAAAAAGUAUGUGCGAGGAAAUCCUGCCCAGCAUAUCAAAGCAUAACUCCUGUACCCUUUUGGUUGGCCCAGCUCAAAUUAAAAAAGCAUAAAAUGGCUUGAAAACAACUGAUCACACAUGUUUUGAAUAUGCUGAAUUUUAAUUGAUGAUAAAUUGUGCUUUUGAAGACCCCUGCCCACGCA